RNAcentral lists this transfer RNA (63 nucleotides) under Binodoxys communis. RNAcentral's name for it is "tRNA-Gly". The record is from RNAcentral. Lineage: Eukaryota; Metazoa; Arthropoda; Insecta; Hymenoptera; Braconidae.
AAUUAUAUAGUAUAAAAAGUAUAUUUAAUUUCCAAUUAAAAGGUUUAUUCAUUAAUAUAAUUA